CGGGGAAUCUUCCGCAAUGGACGAAAGUCUGACGGAGCAACGCCGCGUGAGUGAUGACGGCCUUCGGGUUGUAAAGCUCUGUUAAUCGGGACGAAAGGUCUUCUUGCGAAUAGUUAGAAGAAUUGACGGUACCGGAAUAGAAAGCCACGGCUAACUACGUGCCAGCAGCCGCGGUAAUACGUAGGUGGCAAGCGUUGUCCGGAAUUAUUGGGCGUAAAGCGCGCGCAGGCGGAUCAGUCAGUCUGUCUUAAAAGUUCGGGGCUUAACCCCGUGAUGGGAUGGAAACUGCUGAUCUAGAGUAUCGGAGAGGAAAGUGGAAUUCCUAGUGUAGCGGUGAAAUGCGUAGAUAUUAGGAAGAACACCAGUGGCGAAGGCGACUUUCUGGACGAAAACUGACGCUGAGGCGCGAAAGCCAGGGGAGCGAACGGGAUUAGAUACCCCGGUAGUCCUGGCCGUAAACAAUGGGUACUAGGUGUAGGAGGUAUCGACCCCUUCUGUGCCGGAGUUAGCGCAAUAAGUACCCCGCCUGGGGAGUACGACCGCAAGGUUG
RNAcentral lists this ribosomal RNA (550 nucleotides) under uncultured bacterium. RNAcentral's name for it is "bacterial SSU rRNA". It matches the Rfam family "Bacterial small subunit ribosomal RNA", at positions 355 to 896 of the family's 1533-position model. The record is from RNAcentral.